GUAUUUAAUGGCACAAUUCAGAUUUAUAUAAAAUACCAGUGACACUGAGCUGGUUUGAUAAACAGUAAUAGUAUAUUUUAAUUCAGUCAAUUUGUAAUGACGUAUAUGCAUAACUUAUAUGCCUCCAUAAUCACAUUAUUGAGAUUCUAAUACAGAGGAUUAUGUUCCGAUCCGCCUUGCACUAUUUUCACCGGCUAGCAGCUGAUCACCUCGGUCAAGAGUUUGUACCGUCUCACUUUCACCCUAAACCUUGCCUUCCCCACGGCAGCCAGCGGCUUCCUCUCCUUCGCCGUCGCCGCCGCUGUCUCCUCCACAAGCAUCACCCCGGCCUUGGGCUUUUUCACCGGUUUGCCAGGCUCCGCAAGGAAGGCCGACCUCGAGCAGCCAGCACCGCCACACGAGCGCCCACUCUUACCCGCCUCAGAAUCGACCACCUCCGACGACGACGCAUGCGCAGAUAUCCUCCCCCGUUUCGCCGCCGGGGAGCCCACCCUCCUACCCUCUCCCCCCCCCCCCCCCCCCGCCGGUCCCCCGCCACUCUCGGGUAGAGCUCACUGCAGUAUCUACAAAAAGGAGUCCACACAUGCAUAAAUACGCAAGAUAGAGUCGAUCGGAUCAACAGAUAGUUCUUCCUAUUAGUUACCUGUGUUGGAGCCGGCGGCGGCAGUGGCCGCAGCGGAACAGCUCGUGCCGCGGCGCCGGCGCCGGAGCCGGAGCCAGGAGACUCCAUGGUGAAGAGAGAUGAAGGGACUGUGCAUCGAAGCAGCCGGUGAAGCCGGAAGCCAAGC
This 788-nucleotide long non-coding RNA is filed under the name Oryza brachyantha (malo sina). Its description in RNAcentral is "long non-coding RNA (OBRA_LNC000537)". Lineage: Eukaryota; Viridiplantae; Streptophyta; Magnoliopsida; Poales; Poaceae. The record is from RNAcentral.